CCGAACACCACCACAACAACAAGGAGUGAGAUUACUACAACUGCGCAGGCAGCACUUGGGAGGAAACAAAGAUUGUUUGGGGUGGGGGAGGAACAACGGGACUUCCCAUUCACAGCUCCCCGUUCACCUUUUGAAGUACUGUUUUUAAGGGACUGCCAGUGGGGACCCCCAACUGCCGGACAGCCCUACCUGGUGGGCUCUCCAGAUCUAAAAACGAUCGAUUAAGGCCCAGGUCUCUUUGGACAGAGAAUUUCACCGGACAAGAGUGUGCGCCAGGGAUAACCAGAAGAUUAUCAGAAGAAGCUCACAAGUCCUUUUGAAGGUGGAACAGAAGAGCUGGUCACACAAAUGUCUGUGCUUUCUGCUUUGCUGUUGAGAACAUUCCAGAGCCUGAGGAGGGCAGGGUUUGGGGAGGGGAGAGACUUCAGUGUGGUAUAAAGCCAGAGAGUCAGCCUUCUAAAGCAGCCAUUUUCUCCAGGUAAAAUUGAUCUCUGUCACCUUGAGAUCAGUUGGCAUCCUAGGAGAUCUGGAGGUUGCCAACCCUGACUCUAGAGUGAGAAAUUACUCAGGUGGUUGACAUGAUCACUCCCAGUUCACUCCCAAUACCGAUUGGUGGUGGGGGGUGGGGCGAGAUAGUAAGCUACUUUGAAGUAGAGAAAAGUAGGAUAUAAAAACUAACUCUUCUUCUUCUUCUUCUUCUUCUUCUUCUUCUUCUUCUUCUUCU
This is a long non-coding RNA of Sphaerodactylus townsendi, 724 nucleotides long. RefSeq lists it as uncharacterized. Lineage: Eukaryota; Metazoa; Chordata; Lepidosauria; Squamata; Sphaerodactylidae. The transcript has 3 exons. The record is from RefSeq and is a predicted model, not a curated record.